CGGACGGGUGAGUAAUGUCUGGGAAACUGCCCGAUGGAGGGGGGUAACUACUGGAAACGGUAGCUAAUACCGCAUAACGUCGCAAGACCAAAGAGGGGGACCUUAGGGCCUCUUGCCAUCGGAUGUGCCCAGAUGGGAUUAGCUAGUAGGUAAGGUAACGGCUUACCUAGGCGACGAUCCCUAGCUGGUCUGAGAGGAUGAUCAGCCACACUGGGACUGAGACACGGCCCAG
RNAcentral lists this ribosomal RNA (232 nucleotides) under uncultured bacterium. RNAcentral's name for it is "partial 16S ribosomal RNA". It matches the Rfam family "Bacterial small subunit ribosomal RNA", at positions 99 to 334 of the family's 1533-position model. The record is from RNAcentral.